AGAGUUUGAUCCUGGCUCAGAACGAACGCUGGCGGCGUGCCUAACACAUGCAAGUCGAGCGCGAAAGUCCCUUCGGGGGCGAGUAGAGCGGCGGACGGGUGAGUAAUACAUGGAUAAUCUCCCUUCGAGCUCGGGAUAACACUGCGAAAGCGGUGCUAAUACCGGAUAAGACCACGUCACCCAGGUGAUGCGGUAAAAGAUGGCUUUGUUUUCGGAUGAGGCUAUCACUUGAGGAUGAGUCCAUGGCCUAUCAGCUUGUUGGUGAGGUAAAGGCUCACCAAGGCGAUGACGGGUAGCUGGUCUGAGAGGACGAUCAGCCACACUGGGACUGAGACACGGCCCAGACUCCUACGGGAGGCAGCAGUGGGGAAUAUUGGGCAAUGGGCGAAAGCCUGACCCAGCGACGCCGUGUGGGCGAUGAAGGCCUUCGGGUUGUAAAGCCCUGUUGGGUGGAAAGAAGGGCUCUAGGACGAAUAAUCCCUGAGUCUUGACGGUACCACCAGAGGAAGCACCGGCUAACUCCGUGCCAGCAGCCGCGGUAAUACGGAGGGUGCAAGCGUUGUUCGGAAUUACUGGGCGUAAAGGGCGCGUAGGUGGUUGUGUAAGUCAGAUGUGAAAUCCCGAGGCUCAACCUCGGAACUGCAUCUGAUACUGCAUGACUAGAGUGCAGCAGAGGGAAACGGAAUUCCCAGUGUAGAGGUGAAAUUCGUAGAUAUUGGGAGGAACACCGGUGGCGAAGGCGGUUUCCUGGGCUGACACUGACACUGAGGCGCGAAAGCGUGGGUAGCAAACAGGAUUAGAUACCCUGGUAGUCCACGCUGUAAACGG
RNAcentral lists this ribosomal RNA (828 nucleotides) under uncultured bacterium. Its description in RNAcentral is "bacterial SSU rRNA". It matches the Rfam family "Bacterial small subunit ribosomal RNA", at positions 8 to 809 of the family's 1533-position model. The record is from RNAcentral.